GCUCAGAUUGAACGCUGGCGGCAGGCCUAACACAUGCAAGUCGAGCGGCAGCACGGGUACUUGUACCUGGUGGCGAGCGGCGGACGGGUGAGUAAUGCCUAGGAAUCUGCCUGGUAGUGGGGGAUAACGCUCGGAAACGGACGCUAAUACCGCAUACGUCCUACGGGAGAAAGCAGGGGACCUUCGGGCCUUGCGCUAUCAGAUGAGCCUAGGUCGGAUUAGCUAGUUGGUGAGGUAAUGGCUCACCAAGGCGACGAUCCGUAACUGGUCUGAGAGGAUGAUCAGUCACACUGGAACUGAGACACGGUCCAGACUCCUACGGGAGGCAGCAGUGGGGAAUAUUGGACAAUGGGCGAAAGCCUGAUCCAGCCAUGCCGCGUGUGUGAAGAAGGUCUUCGGAUUGUAAAGCACUUUAAGUUGGGAGGAAGGGCAUUUACCUAAUACGUAAGUGUUUUGACGUUACCGACAGAAUAAGCACCGGCUAACUCUGUGCCAGCAGCCGCGGUAAUACAGAGGGUGCAAGCGUUAAUCGGAAUUACUGGGCGUAAAGCGCGCGUAGGUGGUUCGUUAAGUUGGAUGUGAAAUCCCCGGGCUCAACCUGGGAACUGCAUUCAAAACUGUCGAGCUAGAGUAUGGUAGAGGGUGGUGGAAUUUCCUGUGUAGCGGUGAAAUGCGUAGAUAUAGGAAGGAACACCAGUGGCGAAGGCGACCACCUGGACUGAUACUGACACUGAGGUGCGAAAGCGUGGGGAGCAAACAGGAUUAGAUACCCUGGUAGUCCACGCCGUAAACGAUGUCAACUAGCCGUUGGGAGCCUUGAGCUCUUAGUGGCGCAGCUAACGCAUUAAGUGACCGCCUGG
This 860-nucleotide ribosomal RNA is filed under the name Pseudomonas frederiksbergensis. Its description in RNAcentral is "bacterial SSU rRNA". It matches the Rfam family "Bacterial small subunit ribosomal RNA", at positions 22 to 876 of the family's 1533-position model. Lineage: Bacteria; Pseudomonadati; Pseudomonadota; Gammaproteobacteria; Pseudomonadales; Pseudomonadaceae. The record is from RNAcentral.